UGAAAGGCAUGGCCUUGGCUCCAGACCAAAGGGCACAAAUGAAUGAGGUUGCUCUCCCAUAACUCCUACCCCACCAGGAUGUCAGGGCAGCUGCUAAGAGUAGUCCCCAAAACGCAUAAAGCAUAGGCAUAGAAGAAUGGAAAGCUGGCUGUGGUCAAGCGCCUGGUGUGAACUCAGAGUCAAGGUGGGGGUUUCAGUCGGUGCUUCACCUGGGUUCCCUAGCAAAAGGUCUGACACAAACACCUGUGUCACAAGCUGCCAUGCUAAAAGCUUGGAGGGGGUGGGGUCUUUAAGAGGUGGAGCCUAGUGAAAGGUCUUCAAGGGUCAAUGAGGGCAUGCUCUCUGAGGCAACUAUGGUACUUUGGUCUUUUUCUCCCUGCGCGCUUCUUGGCUACCAUGAACAGUCAUGAGGUAUGCAGCCUUCUCCACCACAUGCUGCCCCCACUCAAGCUCAGCCCAAAGCCAAGAGCUGAGAGGCGAUGGGCCGAAGCUUUCCUCUCCUCCUUUCAGUUGACUUUAGAUUUUUGUUGCGGUGACAGAAAGGUGACACACUGUGCAAAGGGGAUACCUGGUGAGAAGAGGCAGCAGCCAGGGGACUAAGCAAACCUAAACAGAGACACCGACUCUACUAAAGCCCACAGCCAUGGAGUGGCCAGCAGUUCUAAAGGGUUUCCCGAAAAUGGACAACCCAGGAAAACUAGGCAAGUUGUUCCUCCCACCUUAACCCAACCCCACGGGUUAUCUCUGCUGCAUAAAAGCCACUGCAGGGUGCUGCACAGCUGUCUCCCUCACUUUGAAGCAAGCAAGGGACCUGGCUUCUGAACUCCAGGCAGAGGUCUUUGGCCAUGCCUCCAGCCCAGGCACCCCCUCCCCCCACCUCUCAGCUAUUUCCCAGUAAAGUGGAAACCAUCCAAGGAGGGCAAUCCCCUGAGGCAGAGGCAACUGUGAGCUGGUAGACACCAACUCCUAUCCCCACUCCAGACAGAUGGGAGCACCAGCCAGAUCAAGGGGCUCUGCUGCCGGUGCCUGCUGCUUGGAGAGGUAAAAGCCACCAGUACCUGAAGGAGGCCAGAUACUCAGCCAACACAGCUGUGAACAGCCCUCCAGCAGGCAUCUCCAGGCAAACGCAAGCUUCCCUGGGAGGAAGGGCUGGA
Long non-coding RNA from Mesocricetus auratus (golden hamster), 1154 nucleotides. RefSeq lists it as uncharacterized. The record is from RefSeq and is a predicted model, not a curated record. NCBI's taxonomy places the organism in Eukaryota, Metazoa, Chordata, Mammalia, Rodentia, Cricetidae. The transcript has 2 exons.